Molossus molossus (Pallas's mastiff bat) is the source of this 131-nucleotide small nuclear RNA. RefSeq annotates it as U11 spliceosomal RNA. The transcript has a single exon. NCBI's taxonomy places the organism in Eukaryota, Metazoa, Chordata, Mammalia, Chiroptera, Molossidae. The record is from RefSeq and is a predicted model, not a curated record.
AACAAGGGCUGUUAUGAGUGGCACACAUAGGGCACCUUGAUUGCUCUACAUGCGGAAUCAACAUCAGGAGAUUUCAGAAGAAUAAUUUUUUGGUAUCUGGGCAGCCAGUGAUCAUUGGUCCCAGUACCCAU